UAAUACGUAGGUGGCAAGCGUUGUCCGGAAUUAUUGGGCGUAAAGCGCGCGCAGGCGGCUAUGUAAGUCUGAUGUUAAAGCCCGGGGCUCAACCUCGGUUCGCAUUGGAAACUGUGUAGCUUGAGUGCAGAAGAGGAAAGUGGUAUUCCACGUGUAGCGGUGAAAUGCGUAGAGAUGUGGAGGAACACCAGUGGCGAAGGCGACUUUCUGGUCUGUAACUGACGCUGAGGCGCGAAAGCGUGGGGAGCAAACAGGAUUAGAUACCCUGGUAGUCCACGCCGUAAACGAUGAGUGCUAGGUGUUGGGGGUUUCGAUACCCGCAGUGCCGCAGCUAACGCAAUAAGCACUCCGCCUGGGGAGUACGCUCGCAAGAGUGAAACUUAAAGGAAUUGACGG
RNAcentral lists this ribosomal RNA (396 nucleotides) under uncultured bacterium. RNAcentral's name for it is "bacterial SSU rRNA". It matches the Rfam family "Bacterial small subunit ribosomal RNA", at positions 521 to 916 of the family's 1533-position model. The record is from RNAcentral.